AGAGUUUGAUCCUGGCUCAGGAUGAACGCUGGCGGCGUGCUUAACACAUGCAAGUCGAACGGGAAACCUUUUAUUGAAGCUUCGACAGAUUUAGCUGGUUUCUAGUGGCGGACGGGUGAGUAACGCGUGGGUAACCUGCCUUAUACAGGGGGAUAACAACCAGAAAUGGUUGCUAAUACCGCAUAAGCGCACAGGACCGCAUGGUCCAGUGUGAAAAACUCCGGUGGUAUAAGAUGGACCCGCGUUGGAUUAGCUAGUUGGCAGGGUAACGGCCUACCAAGGCGACGAUCCAUAGCCGGCCUGAGAGGGUGAACGGCCACAUUGGGACUGAGACACGGCCCAGACUCCUACGGGAGGCAGCAGUGGGGAAUAUUGCACAAUGGGGGAAACCCUGAUGCAGCGACGCCGCGUGAAGGAAGAAGUAUCUCGGUAUGUAAACUUCUAUCAGCAGGGAAGAUAGUGACGGUACCUGACUAAGAAGCCCCGGCUAACUACGUGCCAGCAGCCGCGGUAAUACGUAGGGGGCAAGCGUUAUCCGGAUUUACUGGGUGUAAAGGGAGCGUAGACGGACUGGCAAGUCUGAUGUGAAAGGCGGGGGCUCAACCCCUGGACUGCAUUGGAAACUGUUAGUCUUGAGUGCCGGAGAGGUAAGCGGAAUUCCUAGUGUAGCGGUGAAAUGCGUAGAUAUUAGGAAAAACACCAGUGGCGAAGGCGGCUUACUGGACGGUAACUGACGUUGAGGCUCGAAAGCGUGGGGAGCAAACAGAAUUAGAUACCCUGGUAGUCCACGCCGUAAACGA
This 800-nucleotide ribosomal RNA is filed under the name uncultured bacterium. RNAcentral describes it as "bacterial SSU rRNA". It matches the Rfam family "Bacterial small subunit ribosomal RNA", at positions 8 to 809 of the family's 1533-position model. The record is from RNAcentral.